Molecule: long non-coding RNA, 457 nt
Filed under: Bos taurus (domestic cattle)
Lineage: Eukaryota; Metazoa; Chordata; Mammalia; Artiodactyla; Bovidae
Description: long non-coding RNA NONBTAT000009
Source: RNAcentral
GCUUUUUCACUUAGCACAUUUUUCAGCAGCUCUUAGGGUGCUUUUGGUUUAAUGGCUAAAUGACCACCACUUGGAAUGUCUGAACUGUGAAUGUAUUUAACAAUAUUUUAAAAUUUUGAGGUAUUUUCGGUUUUGUAAAGCACACAGCAGAGGCAUAUAAAAAGAAAUAGUUUUUCACAGCGUUACAGUAUUUGUUACUUUCCUGCUACACUUGAUGUGUUUUGGUUCCCGUCUCUUCUCCCAUCCUCUUCUCUGCCUUUUAAAGUCUGUUGAGUCUUUUGUUCAUAGUUAUUUUACAUUUUUAAAAAAUGGUCUUAUUAAAUAUGAUUCAUGGACAAAGUAGUAGAGCAGUUAAGAUCUCUAAAGUGUUUUCUGUCUUUGACCUUUAAAAGUUCUCUAAGAGUUACUUUUCUAGCCACUUUAACCUACAAGUUAUAUAGUGUAUAAUAGUCCAUUA